GCCGGAAGCCAGUGAGAAACCACUGAAAUAGCCUAGUCUGCAAACGAUGGAGGCCUAAACUUGUGGAUUAUUGGGGGUAUUGGAAAAAUAAGCCUGCAGGACGGACACUGUACCCUUGAGUACUCGCUAUAAACAAAGCCUCUGCCGGACUACUGCCUCUGUAACACUAAACAGCCUCCCCAGGGAAGACGGAUCUGGCUACAGGUUCACCAUGAAAUUCUUUACCAUCCUGCUGCUGGCCACCUGAGCCUCCACCUCUCUCGCCAUCCUUAAUGAGCCAGAAGAUGAGAUCCACUUGCAGGCUCAACCCAUAAAUGCCCAAGUGGAGCAGAGACCAUCCCUCCUGGCGCUGGACCUUAAUCCUUCCUGCUGCACUAAUUGGCCAAGAUCUGGGGACCGGGAACAAUUUGAACAGCACUUCAUGCUGGGUAGUCAUUGAAGAUGACUAUAUCUCAUACCCAAAUGCUAGCAGCUGCUCAGCUGAUAAUCUGAAAAGGACCAUGUCUCCAUUGAAAACCUUUCUGAGGAAUCUCUCAUCUCCAGAGAAGAGCUGGGUUUUGAAGAGGAUGAUAUGACCAAAUCUACCAGGAGACCAAAGCGUCAAAGGCCCGAGCUGCUUCACCCCAUCCCCCAGGAGGACAGUAUCAGAAAUGCUGCCUCUCAGUCAGAAGAGACUACAGAACUCACUCCCAGGGCUGCAACCACCUCAGAGGGAAAACCGGCCAAGCUCGGCCAUAAAAUCGGGAAGAAUCUGGACGAAACAGUAAAAGAAACCAUGAGCUAUCUGAAAAACCUACUCCCUCAUGCCUAUGAAGUCAUAAGGCCCAGUCCCGGCCAAAGCUGGUGUCUAACAGCACCAAAACCCUCCUUGCCCCGACCACCAUCUCUCAGCUCCCCACGUCCCUUAUUAAAGCGUUGCAUCCCA
Felis catus (domestic cat) is the source of this 925-nucleotide long non-coding RNA. RefSeq lists it as uncharacterized. NCBI's taxonomy places the organism in Eukaryota, Metazoa, Chordata, Mammalia, Carnivora, Felidae. The transcript has 6 exons. The record is from RefSeq and is a predicted model, not a curated record.